RNAcentral lists this long non-coding RNA (876 nucleotides) under Anas platyrhynchos platyrhynchos (common mallard). Its description in RNAcentral is "lncRNA (ENSAPLG00000018710.1)". The record is from RNAcentral. Lineage: Eukaryota; Metazoa; Chordata; Aves; Anseriformes; Anatidae.
AAACAGAGCAGCCUCUUCUUUAGAGAGCCGCGCUCUGGCAACACGCUCCCUCCUUUCCCCAGGAGGAGCCCGAAUGUGGCAACCAAAUAAAUCCCAGGGCGAGUCGGUGCGAGGAGGGGAGCGAGCUCCCGCGCGCUCUCGGAUGGAUCUAAAAGAGAAGAAGGAAGUUGUUGAAGAAACAGAAAAUGGCAGAGAUGCACCGGCCAACGGCAAUGCUAACGAGGAAAACGGGGAGCAGGAGGCCGACAACGAAGUAGACGAAGAGGAAGAGGAAGGUGGCGAGGAAGAGGACGAGGAGGAAGAGGGUGAUGGUGAGGAGGAGGACGGCGACGAAGACGACGAAGCUGAGGGAGCCACAGGCAAACGGGCAGCUGAGGACGACGAGGUAGGCAGAGCACCCCUUGUGUCCCGAGUGGGUUUUGGGGUGGAAUCAGUGGGGUCGGAGGCACCAGGCUGGGCUUUGGGACCCGGAUCCUGCCCGUGUGGUUCCCGCUGUGUGUGCCCCUGGGGGAUUCGGCCCAGUUCUUCAUGUACUGGCCUGGCUGUGAUCACCCUGGGUUUGGGAUCCCAGUGCUGUGGUGGGAUGGGACAGGGGUGCUCCGGCCCCAAAACCAGCUGCCAGAGGCUUCAUGCUGUGGGGAACACUUCUGCUGCAGGGACAAAGCAGAACAAGAGCAGAGGGACCCAAAAUCUCCUUUAUUUCUGCCCCUUUAUUCUGUUGUCCCCUCCCCUAACGGCUUUACCUUUCCCCUCAGGACGACGACGUCGAUCCCAAGAAGCAGAAAACCGACGAAGAUGACUAGGCAGCAAAUUAUUAUUAUUUUUUUUUUUAAAUAAGGAGGAAAACAAACCAACAAAAAAGGCCAGCGCGUCCUC